Molecule: transfer RNA, 75 nt
Filed under: Escherichia coli PA24
Lineage: Bacteria; Pseudomonadati; Pseudomonadota; Gammaproteobacteria; Enterobacterales; Enterobacteriaceae
Description: tRNA-Lys
Rfam family: tRNA
About the family: Transfer RNA (tRNA) molecules are approximately 80 nucleotides in length. Their secondary structure includes four short double-helical elements and three loops (D, anti-codon, and T loops).
Source: RNAcentral
GGGUCGUUAGCUCAGUUGGUAGAGCAGUUGACUUUUAAUCAAUUGGUCGCAGGUUCGAAUCCUGCACGACCCCCA